UUCCAGGACAGCCAAGGCUACACAGAGAAACCCUGUCUCGAAAACCCAAAAAAAAAAAAAAAAAAAAAGAAAGAUCUGGUGCCCUCUUUUGGUCUCUAGGGAUACAGGCAGGCAGACUGCUGUGUACUAAAUAAAUAAAUAAAUAAAUAAGAAGAACAAUAAUCUAAUUUGUGUGUGUGUGCAGUAGAUGAGUCCAAGGCCAGUCCUGCCACUGGUGUCAGCUGGGGAGUAGACAGUUCCAAGACCUCCUUCCUGAGAGCACGAGAGUGCCUUGAGAAAAAACAUUCUCGGGUCACCCAGGAGAAGUCCAUGGCCUGCUCGUGAGGCCAGGGGCAGCACUGUUUUUGCCCUUACCUUCCUGCUCUGAGAAGGGAGUCCAGAUGGCGUAGGUAGGCUUGGAGUUUUCAAAACCUACUUUAAUAAGGUUUCUUAAAGGCUUCAACCUCCCUUCUAGCCCACCUACUAAAGGUAGGGAAAAAGAAGGUUAACAGGAAACGGGGAUUGUAGACCUGCUUAAAAGUAGUUCUUUGGGGCGAUCCAAUCCAAAACACUAAUAAAUAUGAGUCCAUAACAGCAGUCCAGUCUAAUUGGCACAUACCAAACACAAAUUGGUAGUAGCAGCUCUAUCCAGAAGAAACCGCAAGGCUCUGCUCUAUGGCACGAGUCUGUGGAAGCACCAAGAAGCAGCUGGAGUACCCCGAGAAGUUCUUUGGCGUGUUUAUCUCUACAAAGUCACGGCAAGCAAAGAUCAGCAAAGAGAUGCAAGGCAAAGCAAGAGCAGCACCAGCCAAGAUCAGUGAAGCAUUGCAAGGCAAACCAGUGCAAGAGCUCCGUUCACUGCCUGUCAGUUACACUUCAGUUCUUUCUACAUCACGUGUCCUCUCACGUGUGCCGCAGGAAAACAUCCUCUCAUAAGACAGCUUCCAGAAAAACAUCACAUAACACAACUGAAUCUCCAAAGAAACCAGAAAUUCCACUUCAAGAUGGAGCUAUGCUUUGAUGGCCCUAAGGGCCUUAGAGCCAUGACCAUUAGUUGGAAUGAUGUUGUUUUUCAAGUAAAGCAUAUAGCUUAUCAGCUGGGGGUGGGCUAUGGCUGACAUCUGAUCAGCAGAGGCUAGUGGCUUCAGACAUUCAUAGGAUAUAACUCCUUUCUACCUGGCUCAGGAUGGAUCCCUGUGUAGAGGGGUAAAAGCCAAAGUCUGGGUCCCACAUGAUUGGACAUCCUCUUUUACAUCAUACCGUCCCCCUAGAGCUCUGGGGAUUGGGCCCACACCUCUCUCACACAGCAGCUGGGUUUUCUUGGCACAUGGCACUGUGUACAACCUCGUAGUUAGACCUGGGUUGAAGUGAGGAGCGCUGUCGCUCUGGUAGGAAAGUGUUGUCUCCCUGAUCUUGAAUGCAGUUGGUUUGAAUACACUGUUGCAGUAUGUGGUCAGAGAGGGACAGGGCUGCUCAGAGAAAAUUCGAGCCUGUGAGUUGGAGCCUAUGGAGGCCCAAGAGAUAAUAUCAUGAAGAAGUAAGGCUCAUGUUACAGAGAACUGGGUUUACAGCAUUUCAAUUUUGGUAUAAAAGACAAACUCAGUAGGAAAUGUAGAAAGUGUCAGAAGUGAGAACAGACUUUGAAGUAAGGCCAGUGGGGGUGACUUAAAUGAAGAUAUGGCAGAUGACUGAGAUGAUAGAGGUAGUUUAAGAAGACUUUGGUGUUCUGAAAGGCUGGGCGGAUGAGAACUGUAGCUCACAGGGAGGAAAGGAUGGGGUGUAUAGAUGGUGGGAGGACGCACGAAAGCUGAUACCUGGAUGGUUGCUUGGUGUCUUGGGAGGGGAGGUGUAAGGUGGUUGGGCUUCAGAGACCUAAGAAUCUGGAACAAACAUAGAAUAUAUAAAAGGGGAUCUACCCCAAAUAUGUUAGUAUACAGGCUCAAAGACUGGCGCACUGAGUGCUGAGGGCAGAGGGAGGGCCUGUCUUCACAGCUGUGCAAGGCUGGCAGCCUUUGAGCAGGAAGCAAGGGAGCAGGAAGAGGGAUACAAAGUCCAGAUAUUGAGGAAGUCCACUCUAGGAGUGACUCUGGGAAAAAUGUCUUAUUCAAAAAAAC
This 2093-nucleotide long non-coding RNA is filed under the name Mus musculus (house mouse). RNAcentral's name for it is "long non-coding RNA chr7:141590308-141592401". The record is from RNAcentral. Lineage: Eukaryota; Metazoa; Chordata; Mammalia; Rodentia; Muridae.